GAUGAACGCUGACAGAAUGCUUAACACAUGCAAGUCAACUUGAACUUCGGUUUGGGUGGCGGACGGGUGAGUAACGCGUAAAGAACUUGCCUCGCAGCUAGGGACAACAUUUGGAAACGAAUGCUAAUACCUGAUAUUAUGAUUUUAGGGCAUCCUAGAAUUAUGAAAGCUAUAUGCGCUGUGAGAGAGCUUUGCGUCCCAUUAGCUAGUUGGAGAGGUAACGGCUCACCAAGGCGAUGAUGGGUAGCCGGCCUGAGAGGGUGAACGGCCACAAGGGGACUGAGACACGGCCCUUACUCCUACGGGAGGCAGCAGUGGGGAAUAUUGGACAAUGGACCAAGAGUCUGAUCCAGCAAUUCUGUGUGCACGAUGAAGUUUUUCGGAAUGUAAAGUGCUUUCAGUUGGGAAGAAAAAAAUGACGGUACCAACAGAAGAAGUGACGGCUAAAUACGUG
RNAcentral lists this ribosomal RNA (454 nucleotides) under uncultured bacterium. RNAcentral describes it as "partial 16S ribosomal RNA". It matches the Rfam family "Bacterial small subunit ribosomal RNA", at positions 28 to 507 of the family's 1533-position model. The record is from RNAcentral.